CCUACGGGAGGCAGCAGUGGGGAAUUUUGCGCAAUGGGGGAAACCCUGACGCAGCAACGCCGCGUGGAGGAUGAAGCCCCUUGGGGCGUAAACUCCUUUCGAUCGGGACGAUUAUGACGGUACCUAUAGAAGAAGCCCCGGCUAACUUCGUGCCAGCAGCCGCGGUAAUAA
Molecule: ribosomal RNA, 171 nt
Filed under: uncultured bacterium
Lineage: Bacteria
Description: partial 16S ribosomal RNA
Rfam family: Bacterial small subunit ribosomal RNA
Source: RNAcentral